AAUCCCAUGGUGAGGACACUUACGAAUUAAUUCUUUGAAUAUUUCUCACACCUCAUAUAAGGACUCAUCAUCCAAUUGUUGGAAAGUGUGAUCUAAUUUCGUAACU
This is a small nucleolar RNA of Gossypium raimondii (Peruvian cotton), 106 nucleotides long. It matches the Rfam family "Plant small nucleolar RNA R71". From Rfam's summary of the family: R71 is a member of the C/D box family of snoRNAs containing the C (UGAUGA) and D (CUGA) box motifs. Multiple nearly identical copies of this snoRNA have been identified in Arabidopsis, and it is thought to function as a 2'-O-ribose methylation guide for 18S ribosomal RNA. The record is from Rfam. Lineage: Eukaryota; Viridiplantae; Streptophyta; Magnoliopsida; Malvales; Malvaceae.